Molecule: long non-coding RNA, 958 nt
Organism: Daphnia pulex (common water flea)
Lineage: Eukaryota; Metazoa; Arthropoda; Branchiopoda; Diplostraca; Daphniidae
Exons: 4
Source: RefSeq, a predicted model, not a curated record
CUACCUGCUGUGGACGUAAUGUGGUUUUUUAAUGUAGUGUAAAUUUUUUUUCAGACUUUUGUAGGUCAUGUCCUUUUUUGAUUGUUUUUUAAUAAAAAAAAAAUCGCAAACAUCCCUUCGGGUACCCUGCUAACGUAGGUAGCUGACAAUAUCUCAAGUUCAGUCCUUCAAAUAAUGAGUGUUUAGGCAUGUCUAAUAGAUGGCGCGUUAAUUGUGUCAGUUAUGGGCUCAUGGCGGUUUGCUGUCAAAAGUGAAGCUAUCUUUCUUUCGAAAAUUACCAAUGUAUUUACUGGUAAAUUCGAGUGAUUUCAUCUGUAGAUUGUCGGAGAAAACGUGUUGAAAGGGUCGUGCGGCUUACUGCUGUUAACCAUUUGUUAUUCGUUCAAAAUCAUUGUUCAAAAUCAUUUGUUCAAAAUCAAUAUGUGCCAUCAAAAUGAAACAGGAUUCAUCAUAAUUGUCUGCUGUUUGUAUUGGACUUGCUAGAUCGCCAAUCCCAGCCAUUUCCCUAUUUUGAGUGUACACUACUAACUGUUUAAUCAUUUCUAGAUCAUAUAUGUCAAGCACAUUGAUGACACAAACUAUGAACAAGGUGACUUAAUGUUUUUUUAUUUACAAGUUCUUCAUUUCAGGUUUCUAACACAUUGGCAUGACAGAUUUGAUGAGCUAAGUCAUAUUUUGAAGGAAAAGGACAAGGACCAUACAGUCAACAAGGUUCCUUGUUUGCUAACCCGGUGGCUGCUACCCUUCCAUCUCCCUGAUUUACUUCCUUACACAGGGUUUACAGGGUAACUCUUUUGCUACUGAUCACAUCAACUGUUGUAAACUGACGAGAAGGUGCUGCAAUUCAAGACUGAUACAUUGUGUAGUUGUUAGAUAAAUGACAAGUGCAUAUCUGGGCUCCCUUCUUUUCUGUGGCCCCGUUUCCCUAACUAACCACUAACCAACGCCCGCCGGUGGU